RNAcentral lists this unclassified non-coding RNA (174 nucleotides) under uncultured Dothideomycetes. RNAcentral's name for it is "sequence contains ITS2". Lineage: Eukaryota; Fungi; Ascomycota; Dothideomycetes. The record is from RNAcentral.
ACAACAAUCAAGCCCAGCUUGGUGUUGGAAGCGGCCCGUCCCUCGGGACGGGCCUUUCCUAAACAUAUAGGCGCCGUCGUCCGGCUCUAAGCGUAGCAAGCGAAAGCCCUCGCUUUAGACCGUCGGACUGCUGGCUGCCGGUAAAUCCAUUCGGGGCAACCCGAAUUUACUACA